AUGGUGCCGAGGCUGGAGCGCGGCGGCGGUGGCGGGUUCCAGCUCCCCAACUCCGAGCAGGAGAACUCGCUCUUCCUCCGCGCGCUCAUCUCCGUCGUGUCCGGGGACACCGCGGCCCCCGCCCUGCACCCGGAGCCAUCGAACCCGCCGUUUGCCGCUGCCGCUGCCGCUCCGGUGCCUGCGUGCGGCAGGUGCGGCGCGGACGGGUGCCCCGGCUGCGAGUUUGCCGCUGCGGCGGCCGCGGCGACGACCGGGUCGAGCAGCGAGGGGGAGGAGUGCUCGGCCGCGAGCUUCGUGAGGAACGGCGGCGUGGGCAAGCGGCGGGCUGGCGGCGGCGGGAGCAAGUUCAGGGGCGUGCGGCAGCGGCCGUGGGGCAAGUGGGCGGCGGAGAUCCGCGACCCGCACCGCGCCGUGCGCAAGUGGCUCGGCACCUUCGACACCGCCGCCGAGGCCGCGCGCGCCUACGACGUCGCCGCGCUCGAGUUCCGCGGCCACCGCGCCAAGCUCAACUUCCCGGCGUCGUCGUCGGCGGCCUCCGCGUCCGCGUCCGCUUCCGCUUCCUCCUGGGCGGCUCGGCAGCAAAGGCCGGAGAGCCCUCGCGAGAAGUGCGGGUCAAAUGCGUCGUCGCCGGCGCACGUGCCGGAGCAGGGGAGGCCGGUGGCGCGGGAGCAGGAGAUCUGGGACGGGCUGCACGAGAUCAUGAUGAUGGACGACGGCAGCUUCUGGUCCAACCCCAAGCCAUGA
RNAcentral lists this ribosomal RNA (744 nucleotides) under Triticum aestivum (bread wheat). RNAcentral describes it as "partial small subunit ribosomal RNA". The record is from RNAcentral. Lineage: Eukaryota; Viridiplantae; Streptophyta; Magnoliopsida; Poales; Poaceae.